UGGCUCUCCCAUCGAUGAAGAACGCAGCGAAAUGCGAUAAGUAAUGUGAAUUGCAGAACUCAGUGAAUCAUCGAAUCUUUGAACGCACCUUGCGCCCUUUGGUAUUCCGAAGGGCAUGCCUGUUUGAGUGUCAUUAAAUUCUCAACCUUAUGAAUGCUUUUGUGUUGAUAAGGCUUGGAUGUGAGGGUUUUGCUGGCUUCCUUCAGUGGCGGUCUGCUCCCUUUAAAAGCAUUAGUGGGAUCCUUUGUGGACGGUCACUUGGUGUGAUAAUUUAUCUACGCCGCUUGUACUGAAAGCAAAACUUAUGGGAACCUGCUUAUAACUGUCUGUAAUGGACAACUUUUGAACUUUGACCUCAAAUCAGGUAGGACUACCCGCUGA
RNAcentral lists this unclassified non-coding RNA (381 nucleotides) under uncultured fungus. RNAcentral describes it as "partial contains 5.8S ribosomal RNA and internal transcribed spacer 2". The stretch from base 1 to 133 matches the Rfam family "5.8S ribosomal RNA", at positions 22 to 154 of the family's 154-position model. Lineage: Eukaryota; Fungi. The record is from RNAcentral.